GAUCCUGGCUCAGGACGAACGCUGGCGGCGUGCUUAACACAUGCAAGUCGAGCGAGGAGCUUGCUCCUAGCGGCGAACGGGUGAGUAACACGUGGGCAACCUGCCCCAAGCUCUGGAAUAACUCCGGGAAACCAGGGCUAAUGCCGGAUAUGACAUCGCUGGGCAUCUGGUGGUGUGGAAAGAUUUAUCGGCUUGGGAUGGGCCCGCGGCCUAUCAGCUUGUUGGUGGGGUGAUGGCCUACCAAGGCGACGACGGGUAGCCGGCCUGAGAGGGCGAUCGGCCACACUGGGACUGAGACACGGCCCAGACUCCUACGGGAGGCAGCAGUGGGGAAUAUUGCGCAAUGGGCGAAAGCCUGACGCAGCGACGCCGCGUGAGGGAUGACGGCCUUCGGGUUGUAAACCUCUUUCAGCAGGGACGAAGCGAGAGUGACGGUACCUGCAGAAGAAGCACCGGCCAACUACGUGCCAGCAGCCGCGGUAAUACGUAGGGUGCAAGCGUUGUCCGGAAUUAUUGGGCGUAAAGAGCUCGUAGGCGGCUUGUCACGUCGGCUGUGAAAACCCGGGGCUCAACCCCGGGCCUGCAGUCGAUACGGGCAGGCUAGAGUCCGGUAGGGGAGACUGGAAUUCCUGGUGUAGCGGUGAAAUGCGCAGAUAUCAGGAGGAACACCGGUGGCGAAGGCGGGUCUCUGGGCCGGAACUGACGCUAAGGAGCGAAAGCGUGGGGAGCGAACAGGAUUAGAUACCCUGGUAGUCCACGCCGUAAACGUUGGGCGCUAGGUGUGGGGGACCUUCCACGGCCUCCGUGCCGCAGCUAACGCAUUAAGCGCCCCGCCUGGGGAGUACGGCCGCAAGGCUAAAACUCAAAUGAAUUGACGG
Molecule: ribosomal RNA, 878 nt
Filed under: uncultured bacterium
Lineage: Bacteria
Description: bacterial SSU rRNA
Rfam family: Bacterial small subunit ribosomal RNA
Source: RNAcentral